GACGUAGGGCGCGAGCGUUGUCCGGAUUUAUUGGGCGUAAAGAGCUCGUAGGCGGCUUGUCGCGUCGUCCGUGAAAACUUGGGGCUCAACCCCAAGCUUGCGGUCGAUACGGGCAGGCUAGAGUUCGGUAGGGGAGACUGGAAUUCCUGGUGUAGCGGUGAAAUGCGCAGAUAUCAGGAGGAACACCGGUGGCGAAGGCGGGUCUCUGGGCCGAAACUGACGCUGAGGAGCGAAAGCGUGGGGAGCAAACAGG
RNAcentral lists this ribosomal RNA (253 nucleotides) under uncultured bacterium. RNAcentral describes it as "partial 16S ribosomal RNA". It matches the Rfam family "Bacterial small subunit ribosomal RNA", at positions 524 to 776 of the family's 1533-position model. The record is from RNAcentral.